Molecule: ribosomal RNA, 484 nt
Filed under: uncultured bacterium
Lineage: Bacteria
Description: partial 16S ribosomal RNA
Rfam family: Bacterial small subunit ribosomal RNA
Source: RNAcentral
AGUGAACGCUGGCGGCGUGCUUAACACAUGCAAGUCGAACGAGAACGGAUUAUAGCUUGCUAUAAUUGUCAGCUAAGUGGCGCACGGGUGAGUAAUGUAUAGGUAAUAUGCCUCUUACUAAGGGAUAACAAAUGGAAACGUUUGCUAAUACCUUAUACUCCUUAUUAACAGAAGUUAAUAAGGGAAAGAUUUAUUGGUAAGAGAUUAGCCUGUAUUGUAUCAGUUAGUUGGUGGGGUAAUGGCUUACCAAGACUAUGAAACAUAACUGGUUUGAGAGGAUGAUCAGUCACACUGGAACUGAGACACGGUCCAGACUCCUACGGGAGGCAGCAGUGGGGAAUAUUGCACAAUGGACGAAAGUCUGAUGCAGCAACGCCGCGUGGUGGAUGACACAUUUCGGUGCGUAAACUCCUUUUAUAUGAGAAGAUAAUGACGGUAUUAUAUGAAUAAGCACCGGCUAACUCCGUGCCAGCCGCCGCAGUAA